ACGCUGGCGGCGUGCUUAACACAUGCAAGGGACGAUGAACCAGGAGCUUGCUCUUGGGGAUUAGUGGCGAACGGGUGAGUAACACGUGAGUAACCUGCCCUUGACUCUGGGAUAACCUCCGGAAACGGAAGCUAAUACCGGAUNCGAACUGCGAAGGCAUCUUCAGCAGUUGGAAAGAACUUCGGUCAAGGAUGGACUCGCGGCCUAUCAGGUAGUUGGUGAGGUAACGGCCCACCAAGCCUACGACGGGUAGCCGGCCUGAGAGGGUGACCGGCCACACUGGGACUGAGACACGGUCCAGACUCCUACGGGAGGCAGCAGUGGGGAAUAUUGCACAAUGGGCGCAAGCCUGAUGCAGCAACGCCGCGUGAGGGAUGACGGCCUUCGGGUUGUAAACCUCUUUUAGUAGGGAAGAAGCGAAAGUGACGGUACCUGCAGAAAAAGCACCGGCUAACUACGUGCCAGCAGCCGCGGUAAUACGUAGGGGCGAGCGUUGUCCGGAAUUAUUGGGCGUAAAGAGCUCGUAGGCGGUCUGUCGCGUCUGCUGUGAAAACCCGAGGCUCNACCUCGGGCCUGCAGUGGGUACGGGCAGACUAGAGUGCGGUAGGGGAGAAUGGAAUUCCUGGUGUAGCGGUGGAAUGCGCAGAUAUCAGGAGGAACACCGAUGGCGAAGGCAGUUCUCUGGGCCGUAACUGACGCUGAGGAGCGAAAG
Molecule: ribosomal RNA, 712 nt
Filed under: Leifsonia aquatica
Lineage: Bacteria; Bacillati; Actinomycetota; Actinomycetes; Micrococcales; Microbacteriaceae
Description: bacterial SSU rRNA
Rfam family: Bacterial small subunit ribosomal RNA
Source: RNAcentral